This is a long non-coding RNA of Canis lupus familiaris (dog), 1873 nucleotides long. RefSeq lists it as uncharacterized. The record is from RefSeq and is a predicted model, not a curated record. NCBI's taxonomy places the organism in Eukaryota, Metazoa, Chordata, Mammalia, Carnivora, Canidae. The transcript has 3 exons.
CCGGGACAGAAGCGCAGCAGUGGGAACACGCAGGCGAGGCCGCUCGUGGGGCCUGCACAGAGUCGUCCACUCAGUGCUGUCCUCCUGGAAGUACAGACAGAUGGACAGGCGGAAAGGAGGACUCCCCCUCAGUGGAAGAGCCCGCGGAGGGAAGCAGGGGCACUGGGGGCGCAAACCUCAGUGGGUUGUCCUCUGAUGGCAGAAACAAGACCAAGACAUCAGACAACUCCCAUCCAGGCCCGAGUGUAGACCCGUGCGGAAGGACGGGGGAGGGGGGAUGCUCCCCGCAGAGGGAACAGGACGGGGUCCCUGCAGACGGAGCAGGACGGGGGCCCACGGAGGGAAGAAGGGGGGCCCUGCAGCUGGAACAGGACGGUGUCCCCGCAGAGGCUCACACCUGCUGGAGAGGUUCAGGGGCCCUGCGGGCCUCGGGUUCUGUGCUCAGACACGCGGACCCCGUGGAGGGGGGCUGCAACCUGCUGGGCCUCGGCCCUCGGGUUUUCUGGUUAUGACUCCAGCGCGGUCGGGGCGGAUCGCUUCAGUCUUACUACCAGAUGCACAGAUCCUGCUGUGUAGAUGUGUCAUAUUGACGGAAGGUUUGAUGCGAGGCUCUGGAUCUGCCCCAGGCUCUCUAGCUCUACCUUUGGCCUCCUGGGUGAAGAAGAAAGGGGGAGGCAGGUAAGGUGAUGGGAGGCAUUAACCGCAGCCCGGGUCUCAGGAAUCCAUGUGAGUCCAGGGCUGGCCUCUCCCCGCCUCUAACCGCAGUAACCGGAAGCCACGGCCCCAUAGCGGAGUCGCGUGUGCAGGGUCACCUCACGCAGUGGGGCCCAGGACCUCAUGUGACUAGGUCCAAGCUCCCCAGACAUGUAGCCUCCGAGUGGGCCCUGGGGGCUCAUCUGUCACACAGCCGUGCGUGCCAUCCCCAGAGGAGGAGCUGGUCCCCAUAAGACCCUUCUGUCCCCACAGGUGGGUGACUGCCCCCCAAAUCAUCUUUUUUGGUGUUUAGGACUUCCUUUUUUUUUUUUUUUUAAAGAUUUUAUUUAUUCCUGAGAGACCCAGAGAGAGGAGAGACACAGGCAGAGGGAGAAGCAGCUCGGCGCAGGAAGCCCGAUGUGGGACUCGAUCCCGGGACCCGGGGUCGCGCCCUGAGCCACAGGCCGACUCUCCGCCGCUGCGCCCCCCACGCCCCGACUGUUGCAGGCGCGGCAGGUAGUCAUGGUGUCAUCGCCCAGGGAUGGGAGACAAGAACGAGCUUCAGGAACUGUGCUUAGGAAGAUGGGCCGCAGUAAAUUCUCCAGGCUAUUGGUUGGAUCCUGGAAGAUCUACACCACAGAUCAAGAGCCCUGAUCGCUCGGAGCCAGGGACAUGGUGGUACUAGUGUCCCGAUGAAGACGACCAAGCCUAGACGCACAAAGGGUGUGCCCCUGAAACCCCGGGUCAGCUGGGUCCAGCAUCUCCUUUAAAGACCAGCGGGAGAGCAGUUUAAUGCAGCCGGUGAUUGGCCCUGGCACGCAGUCCCGUUUGCAGACGUCAUCCCCCAGAAUGUCAGCUCUGACCACUGGGGUAGCCCACGGCCUGCCCUCCCGCCUGCACCCACGACGUUGGUCCGAACGUUUAUGUACCAGGGUCCGUGCUGUUUAUUCGUCUAAGAACAUUUCCAACCGGUGCUGUGCUUGUUUAUUCACUCUGGGCACGGGCCCAGCAACCUCUGACCAAUAUGGCCCCUAUACCCGAAACGACGCAGGAAACGGGGACAGCGAGCCAGGGAACACGUGGCAGCAGCACCACGCGAGCAGCACCACAUUUCAGCAAAACAAUUGCUGCUGGGGGAAUCCCUGGGUGGCUCAGUGGUUUGGUGCCUGCCUUUGGCCCA